UCCGCUAUCGUAUAGGUGGUUAGUAUACGCGGCUCUCAAGCCUGUACAUGUGAUCCCGCGGGACCAGGGUUCGAGUCCCUGUGGCGGAA
This 89-nucleotide transfer RNA is filed under the name Dunaliella salina. RNAcentral describes it as "tRNA-Glu". It matches the Rfam family "tRNA". Rfam says of the family: Transfer RNA (tRNA) molecules are approximately 80 nucleotides in length. Their secondary structure includes four short double-helical elements and three loops (D, anti-codon, and T loops). The record is from RNAcentral. Lineage: Eukaryota; Viridiplantae; Chlorophyta; Chlorophyceae; Chlamydomonadales; Dunaliellaceae.